Dama dama (fallow deer) is the source of this 9643-nucleotide long non-coding RNA. RefSeq lists it as uncharacterized. The record is from RefSeq and is a predicted model, not a curated record. Lineage: Eukaryota; Metazoa; Chordata; Mammalia; Artiodactyla; Cervidae. The transcript is spliced from 4 exons.
GACCCUGGGAUCAAACUCAUGUCUUAUGUCUCCUGCAUUGGCAGGUAGAGUCUUUACCUCUAGUGCCACCUGGAAAGCCCGGAAUGUUAUAGAUCUGGGCUCAAAUCCUGAAUCUGCCACUCACCAGCUAUGCGAUCAUGAGUUUCUUAAUUUUUGAACCCCAUUUCCCGUAUCUUUAUUGGAAGAAUAAUACCUUCUUUUUAACGUUCCAGUGAGGCUUAGAAAGAAUAUAUGCAAUUGCCAUGGUAGAUUGUAUGGAAAUGGUGAUUAUAUUACAUUAUCUUGUUGUUGGCUACAAUAAAGAACAGCCUGAGCUAUCUCAUUUCUUGAAAGCAUAUUUCAAAAGUCACCUUCUCUGUAGAGCUCUGCGGGCUCUGGGCAAGCAUAAUUCUCUCUUCCUUGUGUUCCCAUAGAACUUACUUUUGAAUCUCUGUUUCACCGUUGCACGCCACCACUUAUCUCUUUACGUUUUGCUUCUCUACUGUUUCUUUAUUCACUUCUACAUCAAUACUAGCAGAGAACCUGGCAACAAAUUUUGAAAGAACAAGUUUAAAAAUAUUUCCAUCUCCUGUAUUGGUUCUGACUUUCAGUAUAAUUUGUAUUAAACUACAGUCUCUAAGACCUCAACAGUUUAGUUUAUACUAAAAUUAUGUGUUAUGUACAUGUAUCUGCUUAAACCUUGAUUUUUCAGUGCUGGGCUCAUUCUUUAAGAUCAACCUGCUAUGCUUGUGUGUUUUGUAUGGGAUGUCAGUUGAUCCUGCCCAGUAAUAGUGAAAGUAAAAUCUAAAUUCUAAACCCAAACCACCAGCAGAACUUUACCCAGCAUUCUCUGCCCACCCUCUGCACAUCUGCUCUGCAGACAUCUUCUGAGCUUUGUGGGAAGGAUCCUGAACUAACAGGAAACGUGGUUGUUUUUAAGUUUCAGCUGUUAACAUUGUUGCAACCAUUAGCACUUUCUGAGUUAAUAGCUGCAAGACAAAACCCACCUUUAGCUACAGUUUUUAAAUUCUAGACUGCAUGCCAGUAAAAAUGCUCAGACAAGAGAAACCUUCCCUAGAAAAUGUCCUGUGAGCCGGAAGUUGCCCAAGAGGUAAUGUGGUCAAAUGUGGUCUUGAUCCUAAAAUGGCAAUAGAAUUGUGCCAGAGGCAAGGGUAGUGUUGCUGAGGACUUAAAAUAGGAUUCUAGAAAAGUUUGGGUCAAAUUCUUCUAAAAUCAUAAUUUAUAUAUCUCCUUCAAAAACACAUGCAUGUUUGUGCACAUGCAAACACAAUAUGUAAGUGUUUGGUCCCACUAACUUGUGAGAUAGUCUUUGGAAAUAAUGGUGAAUAAGCAUUUACAAAGUACAUGCUAAUAUGCUAAGUAGUAGCUUUAUAUUAAUAUUUAUAUGUAUUGUUAUCAUUUAGUUGCCAUCCCCAGCUAGUAGGCAGUGUUAUUUUCUUUUGUUGAUAGAGAGGCAGAUUGCAAUCAAGUAACUAGUCAAAGGCCACAUGACCAAUGAGUGGAAGUGUUAGGAUCUGGGCCCAGGUGACUCUAAUUUCAGAGUUCUGGGGCUUAACCACUAUUCAAUCACAUGAGAAAGGAAUAUGUACUUUUAAAUUGAAUCCAUCAAGUAUCUUCAGUAAGGUUUAUGAUGUACUUUUUCAAUACUUUUUGAAAUUGCAUUAAUUUGUGCUUUUCCCAGUAGCAUACUCAUAUCCUAAAUGUGCCUUCCUGGGAUGAUUUUACAGCUUGCUCUUUAAUUGAGAAGCGUUUUAUGACUGAAAGCAAACUUAAUGAAAGAGCAUGAAGUGUCUGUGGUUCUGAGCUUAGGCAAUAUGAAAUAUAUCAGGCAGCCUCAUUCUUGGAAUUUUUAUUUUUAUACAGACCAAUGAUAAAUAGCUUUCACAUGAUAGACAUGUAGUAUAAGUUUUAAGUAAAAAUGAGUUUGAUAGUCUCAGGAGUGACUUUUUUUGUAUCCAAAUAUAACUGCUAUAAUUGCACUACUAAAUAAUAUUUGCUUGCUACUACUUAUUAAUCACGUACAGCCACUGAUCUAAGAACUUUACCUAUAUUAACUCGUUAAUUAAAUCUACAAAUGACUGGCUCUAGCCGUGAAAUAAAUUAUUCUAAAGAUAAUGAAACACUGUUAAAAGGGUUAGAACUUUCUUAUUUAUUAAACAAACUACAUUAGGAUUUACUUCCUAAGGAAGGUAACUCAUUUUUUCCCAGGACUAAACAUUUUUAGCCUUUUCUUAGUACCAUAUCAUAUUAUGCAUGUAGAAUGUAUCCUAGAACAUCUCAGAUCACACUUUAACAUUAACUUGCUUCAAAUUUCAGUGACAUCAGCCCUGACAAAGCACUUGAUUUCAGGCCUGAAGAACUGCUUCUUUCCUCUGACUAAAAUGCUGCUCUUCUCUGUCUCUCUGAGGCAUGAAUAGCCAUGGCUCAAGACGUCCUAUCAGGGUAGUGAAAUUGAAGAUGCUCUUGUUACAUAAACAUGACUCUCUCUUUGGAAAAGUAUCAUGGACGGUGGGACGGUGCUUUGUUCACUCAGAAAAUGCUACAGCCAUGCCUGGAUGCUGUCUUCUUAAAGCUGCCUUACACUGACACAAGGACUGGAAGAAGCUGCUGCUUCUCAAAUCUGGAGUGAAUCUAGAGAUUUAAGAGAAGUGAGUUGAUGGUUCACAGACCUCCUUGGGAACUUCUCAGGUGUGAUCUGAAACUGAAGCCCAUAUCCAGAAGUCAGGGAGAGAAGGAACAAAGAAGCAGACCAUUCCAGAUUGAAACAAGUCUUUCAUUUGAAGACAAGAGGAGUCCCCAUUUUUUGUUGAGAAGAAUGAAUGGGAAUGUGGCAUUAAUGAUGAAGACAGGGUUCCCGAAAUUUAUUCAAGAGGUAAAGCAUUACGAUCUCUAAUGGUAGUUGAAUUUUUUAAUGUUUAGAAUACGAAGUUCUGUUAAUCACAGAGGAGCCACUUUGUCAAUAUUACUUGGAUGUCUUUAGAAGGUAGUUUAACUCUUCAAGUAGUUCUAAUUUCUCAGUCCAUUGUGUAGUCUCUUGUAAUGGAAAAAAACUUUAAAUGGUCAGCUGAAAGCUUCCCUCAAAACCUCUCUCACCGUCUCCCUUUGCAUUCCCACUUCUGCUCCCCAGUUUAGCUCUCACCACUUUGUGGCUACACAGAAGCCGCUGCCUCUUCCUCAGCCUUCCCCAUUUUAGCUGCGGCCAGACCACCCUCCACAUAGGUGUCCAAUUUAUUCUCCAAAUACUACUCACAGCACAUAUUGUCUCAAUACAUGAUGACUUCAACUUAUUUCAAAUAUCUCUCCACCGCCCCAAGGAGAAAGCUUAAACUCGAAACCCUGAUGGUUUGUAAAUAUUAAGAGAUGGUGAUAUAAUGAAGAAUAUAUCUGAUGUUUGUCCAUUCCUAGGACAGAGGUCCUAAAACCUUUGGGAUCUCCUGAAUGAUGAGGUGUCUUUGUUAAGUUAAUAAAGUGCCUCACCUGGGUCUCUUGAUAGUUUCAGGAUGAGGGAUGGACAUCAGAAGGACCAACCAUGUGAUUAGAGUCUUGGAACCUUAGGCCAGCCUGACCUCUGGGAUUGGGGUACUUGGAGAUUGAGUUCAAUCAUGAGGCCAAUGAGUUAAUCAAUUGUGCCUAUGUAAUGAAACCCAAGUAAAAAUCCUGGACACUGGGGCUCAGUGCAGCUCCUGGUUAAUGAACUCAUAGAUGUGCCUGGAGAGUAACAUGCCCUGACUCCAUGGGGGGAGGGCACUGAAGCGCUCUGUUCUCUCCUGGACCUCGUCUCAUUUGGCUGCUCUUGGUUGUAUCCAAUAAAGUUAUAAUCAGUUUAGAGCUUGGGCUCUGUGAGUCAUUCUAGUGAAUUUUUCAAGUCGUCAUAUUGUUUAUUGUGCUCAUGCUCAGUCACGUCCGACUCUUUGCGACCCCAUGGACUGGAGCCCACCAGGCUCCUCUGUCCAUGGGAUUUUUUAGGCAAGAAUACUAUAGUGGGUUGCCAUUUCCUCCCCCAGGGAUCAAAGCCGCAUCCCUUGUGUCUCCUGCAUUGCAAUUGGAUUCUUGACCCACUGAGCCAUUGGGAAAGUCAUGGAACCCCCAAAUUUGUAGCUAGUUGGGCAGAAGAGUAGGUGGUCCAGGGACCUCCCAAGAUUCAUGUCUAGCAUCUGAAGUGAAGAUAGUCAUGUGGAGGACUUCACCUUUAACCUGUGGAGCCUGUGUCAACUCUGGGUAGUCAGUGUUAGAACUGGGCUGGGAUAGAAACAGAGCUGACAGUCUUGAGAAGCUAUUACUGGAAAUCUGCAGAAAUAGAUCAAGUCACCAGAGCAUGAUUUUGUAUAGCAGAACUGUGAUGGAAAGAUUGAUUUACUGAAAGCCUCCCCAGGACCACAAAAUGAUAACACUGCGUUUGUCCUCUAAUCUUGAUUACAUGGAACCUGUGAGGAUGGCCUCAUGGUAAGGAAUCACGCCUGUGAAUCAUUUAAAGACAAAAGGAGUUAAAAUAUUUUGACCAGCCUAGGGGACAGCACUUGGAAUGCAUUGUGAUCGAUGGUCUUGAUUCCACAAGGACCUACCAGUGGUUUAUUUUGGCAGAAGACAACACACUGUCCUUUUCCACUUAGUGUCUCUGAGAAACAUUCCACCUAGCCAAGACAACCAAGCCUGGCUGAUGUGUUACCAGUGGGAUAAUAUGUCCAAGGAUUUGGAAUCCUCUGUACUAGCUGCAUCGCCAGUAGUAAUUCUGAGAAGAAUUGAACUGCUAGUGUGGUAAUAAUGGUUAUGGGAGGAGUGGGGACAUUGCCUAUUUACCGCUCACCAAGCUAUCUGUUUCCAAUUUUGGCAGUAAAACACAGCAGCAGAGGGAAAGAAGAGAGAAGCCAUGGGCACUGAGAACCUAUUGCCUACCAGGCUCAGUAGGAGUGUUUUUACUUAAGUUAGUUUCUUUCAUUCUGGUAACCUCACUGAGGAAGAGGUAUUGUCAUCACCACUUUAGAAACACUCAAACUGUGACUCUGAGUUCCCUGAGGUCUCCCAGAUAGUAAGUUAGUAAGCUGUCUGGAUCCAAAUUUAAACUCUACUCUCAACUUUACUGCCGAGUUUCCAUCUUUGGGCCUCACCCUGGCAUGCCUGAAUUACAUUACAGGUUAGGAAAUCAGAAAAAAGUUAUUUUUCUUUUCACCCUCAGCUUGCCUGGUGGUUGAGGGAGAGUGGUGGUGUGGUUUGAUCAACCCUGAACUCAAGCUACGGCUUUCCAGGUUGGCUCAGUGGUAAAGAACCUACCUGCCAAUACUUCCUGAUCUGUGGGUCAAGAAGAUCCUUUGGAGAAAGACAUGGCAACUCACUGCAGUUUUCUUGCAUGGAAAAUCCCAUGGAUAGAGGAGCCUUGCAGGCUAAAGUCCAUGGGGUCACAAAGAGUUGGAUACGAUUUAUCAACUAAACAGCAACUUAGGCUAAGGUAAGCACCUGAGCCAGUUUUCCCAAAGAAGAUAAAAGAUUGCCACUGGCAAGACAACACUGAAAUCUUUUUGCAGCCUUUUCUCUGAACAUUCUCUCUUUUAGGCAAAUUGGUGCUAAUUCUGGGGCAGGCAGGAGCAAGCAAUCAUCACAGCCUUCUAGAGACACCCUUGGUAUAGCUGCCCAGGGCCCUCUUGCUGUUUUGAGUGGGCCCUCCCACUUCCCCAAACUACCACUGCCUACUUGUGAGUAGCCAGCAGUGAGUCUGCAAACAAGAGUCCUGGAGGGGGCAUCCGUCGGUCUACCAGAAGACCUGCUAGUGGGCUCCACACUUGCUGAAAUUAUGUUGGAAGGAUGAGGCCGGAGGCAUGACACUGUUCAGGGUCUAUUUGUCAUGAGUAAGAGGCCUUUCCUGUGUGGUUGGCCUGGGAUCCAGCACUGAAGGGCCUGGAGUAGAGUGUCCGGUCCCCUGGAGGCAGGAGGCUCAUAGGAGCUGGAUAAGACAUGCUGGUCUUCGUGGUGUCACUUGUCUGCCAGCAGGGUGGGCCACCUAGGACUACACCCCACCCCCCGCCUGUCCAAAAUGUUGAGCAGACUGGAGGGAAAGUUAGGUAGCAGGCAGAGUGCAGCCACUCCGAGACAGCACCUCGAGCUGAACAGUCUCCCUCCCUCCCAGUUUCCUAAGGUUUUGGAGCAGUUGAUUUCCCAUGGAAACAAGCAGAAAUCUGUUUUAAUCAUCGGGCAUUUUUAGUUUCCUAAUUUGUAUGGGAACCUGGAGAUACUGACAUAUGGUACAUUCAUCGUCCCGGAAAGCUACAGCUGAAAGAAAAAUAGUUAAAGCCAGUCUUAAAACUGGAACGCUUCUUCAUAUGCCUUCAAAUGACUUUCUUUAAUCAGAGUCUGUCAACAGUGCUGCCAAAAGACUUGGUUCUGUUUCAGCUCAGCCCUUCUAGCAGGAUUUGCAUUUGAACCUUGGUGAGUGCCUCCCCCACAGUAUAGCCCAACCAGCCAGCUCUUAUGGUUGGAUGGGGAGUCCCCCCUCUCAGCUGCUAAACCAGAUUUUUAAAAAUAUAAUUUUAUGUAUUUAAUUUUUGGCUGCACAGGGUCUUCGUUGCUGCUGGGCUUUUCUCUAGUUGCGGCCAGCAGGGGCAACUCUCUUGUGCACGGGCUUCUCAUGGUGGUGGCUUGUCUUGUUGGCAAAGCACGGGCUCUCAGGCACGUGGACUUCACUAGCUGUGACUCAUGGGCUUUGUUGCUCCACGGCAUGUGGGAUCUUCCUGGAUCAGGGAUUGAACCUGUGUCUCCUACAUUGGCAGGCAGAUUCUUUGCCACUGAGCCACCAGGGAAGCCCGGAACAAGGUUGAGAGAGUGAAAUGAGCUCUGGCUGAGUUCUAAUCCUGAACCUUGCACACACUAGUCCUGUGAUCUUGGCUAAAACUGAACUUCCCUCUGCGUCAUUAUCCUCCUCUGAGGAUUUCAUUCCAUCAUUUAACAAAUAUUUAUGGAACAUUUACUUUGUGGCAGCACUGUUCUAAGAACUGGGAAGAUAGCAGUGAAUAAAAUAAGGUCUUCACCUUUGUGGAGUUUAGAUUCUCUUGGAGGGAGAUAAACACUAAAGCAAAUGAGUAAGGUAAAAUAUGCUGGUGAUAAAGGUUAUGGAGCAAAAUAAAGCAGGGGAAGGGAGUAAUUGGGAUGGGCAAUUACAAAUUUAAAAUAUGUGGGUCAUGGAAGCGUUCACUGAAAAGGAGGCAGCUGAGGAAAGUCUUGAAGGAGGUGUGAGAAUGAGCCACAUGGAUAUCCGGUAUCUGAAGAAGAGCAUUUGGGUGGAGGCCUUGAAAUGGGAGAUUACCUGCUGUUAUUGAGGAAUAGCAAGAAGCCCUGUCCCUGCCCCGCCCCACCAAGCCCCCAGUGCUUUGUUAGAGCAACUCAAAUAGACUGCAGUUCUGGUGGGAGGAUAAGGCAGUUCUGGUGGCAAAAGGAAGGGAUUUUCCUCUCUUGCUUUGUAUUUUUGUGAGCCUGGCAUGUGACUGCAGAAACAUGGUGUCAGUCAGGCUCAGAUAUUGCUUGUUCUUUUGCUUUAUAUAGCAAGCAGUUAUGCAGUUGCUAUUCCCGUACAUGUUGAAAAUAGGAUCUCAAACUGUCUUUAUGACUUAACCACUUAGAACAGCAAACUGCCCUGCAAGUCUCCUGCUUCACCUGUUCUCAGCUCCCACAGGUAGAAACACAGCCCAAUCAGAACCACUAAGGAAGAUCCAAACACAAAGCUUCUGCUUGUGUGGGUGGUCAUCCUAAUGGCUACACCUUGAAAUAUUAUCUUUCUCUGAUUUUAUGUUAAAAAUUUCUAUGAUGGGGGAGUUUCCUAGUCAUUCAGUGGUUAGGACACCGAACUUCCACUGCAGGGGGCAUGGGUUCCAGUCCUGGCUGGGGAACUAAGAUCCUACAAACCAUAUGACAGGGCUAAAAAUAAAAGUCUGUAAUGAAAAAGCGUAAAAUGCUGGGGGAGGGGGAGCAGCACAAAAAAUUUAUGGCAGGAGAUCUUUCUAGGAAGAUCUAGGAAAUGACAUACAUAGGAAAUAAAAACAAGGAAAACUAUCUUGAAAAACAUAGAAAAACUCUUUUAAGUUACAGAAUAAAUGGGCCCUUAGCAUAUUUCAGAUUAUAAAAAUGACUUCCUGUACUUUUGCUGACUUGAACUUAUUUCUGACUCACAAAAUUCCUGCCUGACUCCAAGAUGUUAAUGUUUGUAUUUAAUGAGAAUCAAUACUUAUGAGAAAUUCCAUUCUAAGCACUUAAAUAUAUUAAUUAAUUUAAUCCUUAUAAUAGUCCAAUGCCCCUUGUCAUAACCUACAACAGGUUUGACCUAUAAAAACAAAUAAAAAUACCAAAUAAAAUGCUGGUUACCAGAGGACUAGUGGUGGGGGUAUAAGACUGAUAGUGCUUAAGGGUACAAACUUGUUAUGAGUAAUUAUAAGUAAUUGAGAUCUAAUGUACAGUAUAAUAUAAAUGAUAAUACUAUAAGUAUGUAAUGUGAUAAAUAUCACCUUAAAUUUACACGUUACCUGUCAAAUUUAUCCAAUAAAAAAGAAACAUUAAAAAACCUUUAGUAGGUUUGAAUCUCAGCUCUGUCACUUGCUAAUUAGAAGAUUUUGAGACCCAACUUUCUACUAUGUAAAAUAUGAAUAAUAAUGACUCAAUUCACAAGAAUGUUGUGAAAAUUAACUUGAUGUAGUGUGUGAAAUAUGCACAUAACAGUGCUUGACACAGUGAGCUCUCCAUUAACAUUACUCCUAUUACUGGUGACAAAUGGUUUCUUUGCACACCUUGAGGUGAGAAGUUAUAGAUGUUCUACAGCAAAGAGACCACAGAGUUAAAAUUUUUUCUUCUAGCCUUUAAUAGGCUAUUAUUGACAGUGGUUUUCAGCUUCAAAAACCACAAUUUCCCCUAUCCAUAUAUUAGAAAGUUUUGGAGUUUAUGCUAACCUUCAGGGCAUUGGAGAACUCUUUCUACAAUAUCCAAAUCAAGAAUGUAUUCCCAUAUCACUGACAUUUUUAAAGUAAUUUAAAAAUAGUUAUUAUAUGCAUAUGAUGCAAAAUUAAAAGAAAAUACAAAAAGAUAUGCAGAGAAAAGAGUCUACAGUGUUACCUUUUUUGUGUAUAUAUCCACCAGAGAUAUUGUGAAUAUCCAAGCUUACACACUCUCUCUUUCAAAUAUUCAAUCAGCAUAUAUAUUUAAUAAAGUCUGUUGUUUUUACUGAGAUACAGUAUUGAUUAGUAUUUCCCCAAGAAUACUUUCUUACAGGCUCACAAUAGUUGCUGACUCUGUUGGUGAUCAUCUCACCAAAAGUCCUGGAGAGAUGUCAAUAAUCAGGUAAAAGAAGCAAGCAGGGAUAAUACAAGAACUCCAGGAAGGAGGGUGAAGCUGAUACCCAACCCCCUCCAGGUGGAAGAAGUUACAAUUAACCAUUGUAUGCUGCCCACAAGCAUGUAGACCCCAGACCAAUUGAAACCUGAAGGCUGAUGAUGCAGACUCCUUACCUCACCAUCAACAUAUCAGAAGAGCAUCCAUGAGCUGAUCACAAGCCCUCUAUGAAGCAUUACUAUAAAACUUCUCACUAUCCUUUCCAUGUGGGGGAACACAAGGUUUUCUGAGGCAAGCACCUGCUGUAUUCCCCUUUGCCUGGCAAAGUAAUAAAGCUAUCCUU